AACGAACGCUGGCGGCAUGCCUAACACAUGCAAGUCGAACGAAACCUUCGGGUCUAGUGGCGCACGGGUGCGUAACGCGUGGGAACCUGCCCUUAGGUUCGGAAUAACUCCCCGAAAGGGGUGCUAAUACCGGAUAAUGUCUUCGGACCAAAGAUUUAUCGCCUUUGGAUGGGCCCGCGUUGGAUUAGCUAGUUGGUAGGGUAAAACCCUACCAAGGCGACGAUCCAUAGCUGGUCUGAGAGGAUGAUCAGCCACACUGGGACUGAGACACGGCCCAGACUCCUACGGGAGGCAGCAGUGGGGAAUAUUGGACAAUGGGCGAAAGCCUGAUCCAGCAAUGCCGGGUGAGUGAUGAAGGCCUUAGGGUUGUAAAGCUCUUUUACCCGGGAUGAUAAUGACAGUACCGGGAGAAUAAGCUCCGGCUAACUCCGUG
RNAcentral lists this ribosomal RNA (433 nucleotides) under uncultured bacterium. RNAcentral's name for it is "partial 16S ribosomal RNA". It matches the Rfam family "Bacterial small subunit ribosomal RNA", at positions 29 to 507 of the family's 1533-position model. The record is from RNAcentral.